UUUGGCAAUUUCAGUGGAGAGAGUAUUUCUUCUUCUUUCCUGAAGCAAUCGUGGCUCAGCAUCAUACAGGGGAGAGGUUACCAGCACAUCACCCUGUAGUGCUUUGGUUUCUUUAGCAAAUACUGAAUGCAGGUUAGCUCUGUCAGUGGACAUGGGAGAGGUUACUAGCACUUCACCUUUGUUUUUUUUUUCUGUUAAAAAGGA
This is a long non-coding RNA of Dermochelys coriacea (leatherback sea turtle), 204 nucleotides long. RefSeq lists it as uncharacterized. The record is from RefSeq and is a predicted model, not a curated record. NCBI's taxonomy places the organism in Eukaryota, Metazoa, Chordata, Testudines, Dermochelyidae. The transcript has 3 exons.